GGCACACAACGACCUAUGCUCGAUAAACGUUGUCGUCCUUGGUAACAACGUAUCAUUUGGUCACGAACAUGUUUAAGGACUAAGCGACAAAUCCUCCUUUGUCGAGUCUAAAUAGUCCUAAGGACUUCACCACAACACAGGAGUUCAUUAGAAGAUGAAACAUUUGUGAUGAAAAAAUACCAAAAUAAUUUUUAUUUAUUUAU
RNAcentral lists this long non-coding RNA (203 nucleotides) under Elaeis guineensis (African oil palm). RNAcentral describes it as "long non-coding RNA (EGUI_LNC047843)". The record is from RNAcentral. Lineage: Eukaryota; Viridiplantae; Streptophyta; Magnoliopsida; Arecales; Arecaceae.